GCCGCGUUAGCUCAGUGGUAGAGCGCCCGCCUUGUAAGCGGACGGUCGGGAGUUCGACCCUCCCACGCGGCU
RNAcentral lists this transfer RNA (72 nucleotides) under Nocardioides sp. Its description in RNAcentral is "tRNA-Thr". It matches the Rfam family "tRNA". From Rfam's summary of the family: Transfer RNA (tRNA) molecules are approximately 80 nucleotides in length. Their secondary structure includes four short double-helical elements and three loops (D, anti-codon, and T loops). Lineage: Bacteria; Bacillati; Actinomycetota; Actinomycetes; Propionibacteriales; Nocardioidaceae. RNAcentral also lists the same sequence under 3 other names. The record is from RNAcentral.